This 255-nucleotide ribosomal RNA is filed under the name Listeria monocytogenes. RNAcentral's name for it is "partial 23S ribosomal RNA". It matches the Rfam family "Bacterial large subunit ribosomal RNA", at positions 1147 to 1402 of the family's 2925-position model. Lineage: Bacteria; Bacillati; Bacillota; Bacilli; Caryophanales; Listeriaceae. The record is from RNAcentral.
GGUCGAGUGACCCCGCGCCGAAAAUGUACCGGGGCUAAACAUAUUACCGAAACUGUGGAUGAACCUCUUUAGAGGUUCGUGGUAGGAGAGCGUUCUAAGGGCGGUGAAGUCAGACCGGAAGGACUGGGGGAGCGCUUAGAAGGGAGAAUGCCGGUAUGAGUAGCGAAAGAAGGGCGAGAAUCCCUUCCACCGAAUAUCUAAGGUUUCCUGAGGAAGGCUCGUCCGCUCAGGGUUAGUCGGGACCUAAGCCGAGGC